UUGAUGGCGACCGGCGCACCGGGUGAGUAACGCGUAUCCAACCUGCCUUUACUAUGGGACAGCCCGUCGAAAGGCGGAUUAAUACCGUAUGUUGUCAUGUUUGAAUGCAUAUUUUCAUGACCAAAGGCUUCGGCCGGUAAAGGAUGGGGAUGCGUCUGAUUAGCUUGCCGGCGGGGUAACGGCCCACCGGGGCGACGAUCAGUAGGGGUUCUGAGAGGAAGGUCCCCACAUUGGAACUGAGACACGGUCCAAACUCCUACGGAAGGCAGCAG
RNAcentral lists this ribosomal RNA (272 nucleotides) under uncultured bacterium. RNAcentral's name for it is "partial 16S ribosomal RNA". It matches the Rfam family "Bacterial small subunit ribosomal RNA", at positions 85 to 354 of the family's 1533-position model. The record is from RNAcentral.